RNAcentral lists this ribosomal RNA (1334 nucleotides) under uncultured bacterium. RNAcentral describes it as "bacterial SSU rRNA". It matches the Rfam family "Bacterial small subunit ribosomal RNA", at positions 28 to 1382 of the family's 1533-position model. The record is from RNAcentral.
GACGAACGCUGGCGGCGCGCCUAACACAUGCAAGUCGAACGAGCGAGAGGAGGUUUACUUUCUCAAGCGAGUGGCGAACGGGUGAGUAACGCGUGAGGAACCUGCCUCAAAGAGGGGGACAACAGUUGGAAACGACUGCUAAUACCGCAUAAGCCCACGACCCGGCAUCGGGUAGAGGGAAAAGGAGCAAUCCGCUUUGAGAUGGCCUCGCGUCCGAUUAGCUAGUUGGUGAGGUAAUGGCCCACCAAGGCGACGAUCGGUAGCCGGACUGAGAGGUUGAACGGCCACAUUGGGACUGAGACACGGCCCAGACUCCUACGGGAGGCAGCAGUGGGGAAUAUUGCACAAUGGGGGAAACCCUGAUGCAGCGACGUCGCGUGGAGGAAGAAGGUCUUCGGAUUGUAAACUCCUGUUGUUGAGGAAGAUAAUGACGGUACUCAACAAGGAAGUGACGGCUAACUACGUGCCAGCAGCCGCGGUAAAACGUAGGUCACAAGCGUUGUCCGGAAUUACUGGGUGUAAAGGGAGCGCAGGCGGGAAGACAAGUUGGAAGUGAAAUCCAUGGGCUCAACCCAUGAACUGCUUUCAAAACUGUUUUUCUUGAGUAGUGCAAAAGGAAAGUGGAAUUCCCGGUGUAGCGGUGAAAUGCGCAGAUAUAUGGAGGAACACCAGUGGCGAAGGCGACUUUCUGGUCUGUAACUGACGCUGAUGUGCGAAAGCGUGGGGAUCAAACAGGAUUAGAUACCCUGGUAGUCCACGCCGUAAACGAUGAUUACUAAGUGUUGGAGGAUUGACCCCUUCAGUGCCGCAGUUAACACAAUAAGUAAUCCACCUGGGGAGUACGACCGCAAGGUUGAAACUCAAAGGAAUUGACGGGGGCCCGCACAAGCAGUGGAGUAUGUGGUUUAAUUCGACGCAACGCGAAGAACCUUACCAAGUCUUGACAUCCUGCGACGGACAUAGAAAUAUGUUUUUCCUUCGGGACGCAGAGACAGGUGGUGCAUGGUUGUCGUCAGCUCGUGUCGUGAGAUGUUGGGUUAGGUCCCGCAACGAGCGCAACCCUUAUGGUCAGUUACUACGCAAGAGGACUCUGGCCAGACUGCCGUUGACAAAACGGAGGAAGGUGGGGAUGACGUCAAAUCAUCAUGCCCUUUAUGACUUGGGCUACACACGUACUACAAUGGCGUUAAACAAAGAGAAGCAAGACCGCGAGGUGGAGCAAAACUCAGAAACAACGUCCCAGUUCGGACUGCAGGCUGCAACUCGCCUGCGCGAAGUCGGAAUUGCUAGUAAUCGCAGAUCAGCAUGCUGCGGUGAAUACGUUCCCGGGCCUU